This is a small nuclear RNA of Artibeus jamaicensis (Jamaican fruit-eating bat), 164 nucleotides long. RefSeq annotates it as U1 spliceosomal RNA. NCBI's taxonomy places the organism in Eukaryota, Metazoa, Chordata, Mammalia, Chiroptera, Phyllostomidae. The transcript has a single exon. The record is from RefSeq and is a predicted model, not a curated record.
AUUCUUAGCUGGCAGGGGAGAUGGCCGUGAUCACGAAGGUGGUUUUCCCAGGGCGAGGCUUAUCCACCGCACUCCAGAUGUGCUGACCCCUGCGAUGUCCCCAAAUGUGGGAAACUCGACUCCACAAUUUGUGGUAGAGGUAACUGCAUUCAUGCUCUCCCCUG